This 253-nucleotide ribosomal RNA is filed under the name uncultured bacterium. Its description in RNAcentral is "partial 16S ribosomal RNA". It matches the Rfam family "Bacterial small subunit ribosomal RNA", at positions 524 to 776 of the family's 1533-position model. The record is from RNAcentral.
UACGUAGGGGGCAAGCGUUGUCCGGAAUUAUUGGGCGUAAAGAGCUCGUAGGCGGUUUGUCGCGUCUGCUGUGAAAACUCGAGGCUCAACCUCGGGCUUGCAGUGGGUACGGGCAGACUAGAGUGCGGUAGGGGUGACUGGAAUUCCUGGUGUAGCGGUGGAAUGCGCAGAUAUCAGGAGGAACACCGAUGGCGAAGGCAGGUCACUGGGCCGCAACUGACGCUGAGGAGCGAAAGCAUGGGGAGCGAACAGG